Non-coding RNA from Cyanistes caeruleus (blue tit), 1782 nucleotides. NCBI's taxonomy places the organism in Eukaryota, Metazoa, Chordata, Aves, Passeriformes, Paridae. The record is from RefSeq and is a predicted model, not a curated record.
AUCUAUCUUCUUCAUGUUUUCCAAGUCCUGCCGUAGGCUGUCAUUUAGCAAAUAAAAAAACAUCUCUAAUACAGCUUUUGGAGGAAGAAGCAGGAAGAACAGAUGAAUAGGGGAAUCUUGUAUGUCACCUCCUCUACAUUAACUUAUUGUCCUGCUUUCAGCAGGACAGAGUUAAUUUCUUCUCAGUUGCUGUUACAGUCCUGUGUUUUGGAUCUGGAAUGAGAAUGGAUAACACACUGAUGUUUUGGGUUUUUGCUAAGUCAUGUUUAUCUUAAGUCAAGGACUUUUCCUUGUCUCAUGCUCCGCCAGUGAGGAGAACCUUCUGCUUUAUCAUAAAAUGAUGUUACAGCUUUUACUUCGGUAGAAACAAUAUUAUCACUUGUACCUGGAAGAAAUUGGCAAGCGGACCAUGAUGAAAAAACAUGGAACAUACAAAGCACUGCAAAGGCCAUAUGUUCUACUUUGGGAGAUGAGGAGUAAUAUCGGUAAGGCAGUGGUGCAUUAAUCAGCUGCAGAUUCAUUCUUUCCAGUGAUUUUGUUUGCUGCAUCUUUGUUGGAUACAUGCAUCAGGAGACCAAAAGAAGAUAAGUUCUUCUUGCUGGCUCUAAACCUUUCAUACAAUGGUUUCAGUUUGUCAGCCUCAUUUCUUACGCACAGUACAAAAGCAUUAUCCAAAUUGACUGGCUAACAACACACAAUUUAUGGAUAUUUAUUUAUUUCAGCCUCCUGGCAAAUCAUAAGUAAUAAUGACACAGAAUUCAGUUUAUUUGUUAUUACUGGCAGAAGGAAAAUUUUGCAUAAGAUCACAAGAUUACUUUUUUGUUAAAUAAGAAUAUCUGCUUCACUAUUCACCAAUGUUUGAUCUGUAUAAAUCCUUGGGGAUUCAAAAUGUCAAAAAAAGUAAAGGGGGACUCUAGUUCUCUCCAUUUACAAAAGUCAAGAUUAUUCAUGUUACACCUAGGUGACAUAAAAAGUAAUAUCUGAAGGCAACACUAUGUUUGAAAUUCUGUCCCUUUCAGGAACAUUAUGUUAUUUUUAAUUGGAUUAAAAUAGUGUUUGGGACUCUAAUGUUUUUGUCCCUUCAGUGGGUAAGGUAAAAUAUUGAAGCAAAGGACGAACUGAGAAAAAUAAUGCCAGAAAGAGGAAUAUGAAAAUGACAACAGUGAAAUCUGUUGAAGAGAAUAAAAAUGCCAUUGAUGAAAUAGUAACUACAAAAGCCACUGUUUUUAUUUUAAUUAUAUUUAAUAACCCUAAAGAUAUAUGCCUACUAACAUGAAAAUACUAUCAGGUAGCAUCUGCAAAAACCUGGUUUUGUCUCCAUUCUCCCAAACUCAAAUUCAACAGGUUGUUAGCCCAGUCUUUUGAUCAGAGUCUAAAAACAGGCAUAUAAAAACUGGAAAUAGCUGAACUUGGAGAACAUAUGAACUUGGAGCACAUAAAUGAAGUUUUGAAAGGAGGAAGGCUAGAAAUUCUUUCUAAUGGAGGAAAAAGAAAUUGCUAAUACCACAGAGGAAAAAAAACAUUUUAUGUCCUGCAAAAUUUUCUUAACACAGGUUAAGGAUCCCCCCAUUUGGAGUUAAGGGUCAGUAACAGACUCUAGUUUGAAACAGAUUAAAUGUAAAUCAUGUAAAUCAGAUUAAAUGUACCAUCUAGAUACACAUUACUUGACACUGGAAAGCUUGAUAUGUGUGAUACCAUUUUUUGCUAUUAAGUGGAAAUAAUAAAGUGUCAGACAUGCCUCUCACUCUUGCUUAAAAUUAAGCCAUUGAAGUGUUUUUAACC